Neopsephotus bourkii (Bourke's parrot) is the source of this 574-nucleotide long non-coding RNA. RefSeq lists it as uncharacterized. The transcript has 4 exons. The record is from RefSeq and is a predicted model, not a curated record. NCBI's taxonomy places the organism in Eukaryota, Metazoa, Chordata, Aves, Psittaciformes, Psittacidae.
GUCAGCUGUCCUGACUGUUCCCUCCCAACAUCUUGACCUUCUCUCCAGCCUGCUGAUGAGGGGGAAUGUUGGAGGAACAAGAUUGAUGCCAUGAUACCACCUGACAAAUCAAAUGUUUUGAACCUUGCAAGCCUGACAUCAAACAUCCAGAGUUCAGAAGAACAUUUAAGUGUGCAUUAAAUAAGAGGAUGAAAGACUGCAAUGAAAAGGCAAAUAGUUUCACUUAACAAUUGGCAGCAAUUCAGUGGACAAAAACAAAAGGAUAUAUCAUGGAAACCUUUUCUAUGGCUAAAUCAAAUUGUUUAAUUGCAAGCAAUAUUAAACCCAUUGUUAAGAUAAAUAUUAACCGUGGAGGAAAGCAAAUAUCAGGGAAGACAAGAAUAAAAUGUGGAUACCUUUCCCCCAGCUGUUCUUUAGACUGUUAGAAACUUGGCUCUGCCAUGUUCAUUCUGGAUGUUGCACCUUUGUUCAUGAAAUAUCUUUCCACUCUUUCAUCUGGUCUGGGGCUGUAAUGCUGCUGUCCUGUGGUGGCACCUGAAAAGAACAUGUAAAGAAGACACAGUGAAUAUAUGAA